AUUGAACGCUAGCGGCAGGCCUAACACAUGCAAGUCGAACGAGCGGCGGACGGGUGAGUAAUGUAUGGGGACUGCCCGAUAGAGGGGGAUAACUACUGGAAACGGUGGCUAAUACCGCAUAAUACCGGAUAACCCAUAUGGGAUUAGCUAGUAGGUGGGGUAAAGGCUCACCUAGGCGACGAUCUCUAGCUGGUCUGAGAGGAUGAUCAGCCACACGGGUACUGAGACACGGCCCAGACUCCUACGGAGGCAGCAGUGGGGAAUAUUGCACAAUGGGCGAAAGCCUGAUGCAGCCAUGCCGCGUGUAUGAAGAAGGCCUUAGGGUUGUAAAGUACUUUCAGCAGGGAGGCGUUACCCGCAGAAGAAGCACCGGCUAACUCCGUGCCAGCAGCCGCGGUAAUUC
This 403-nucleotide ribosomal RNA is filed under the name uncultured bacterium. RNAcentral's name for it is "partial 16S ribosomal RNA". It matches the Rfam family "Bacterial small subunit ribosomal RNA", at positions 30 to 526 of the family's 1533-position model. The record is from RNAcentral.